RNAcentral lists this ribosomal RNA (650 nucleotides) under uncultured bacterium. RNAcentral's name for it is "bacterial SSU rRNA". It matches the Rfam family "Bacterial small subunit ribosomal RNA", at positions 233 to 883 of the family's 1533-position model. The record is from RNAcentral.
GCGUCUGAUUAGCUUGUUGGCGGGGUAACGGCCCACCAAGGCGACGAUCAGUAGGGGUUCUGAGAGGAAGGUCCCCCACAUUGGAACUGAGACACGGUCCAAACUCCUACGGGAGGCAGCAGUGAGGAAUAUUGGUCAAUGGGCGAGAGCCUGAACCAGCCAAGUAGCGUGCAGGAAGACGGCCCUAUGGGUUGUAAACUGCUUUUAUAAGGGAAUAAAGUGAGUCUCGUGAGACUUUUUGCAUGUACCUUAUGAAUAAGGACCGGCUAAUUCCGUGCCAGCAGCCGCGGUAAUACGGAAGGUCCGGGCGUUAUCCGGAUUUAUUGGGUUUAAAGGGAGCGUAGGCCGGAGAUUAAGCGUGUUGUGAAAUGUAGACGCUCAACGUCUGCACUGCAGCGCGAACUGGUUUCCUUGAGUACGCACAAAGUGGGCGGAAUUCGUGGUGUAGCGGUGAAAUGCUUAGAUAUCACGAAGAACUCCGAUUGCGAAGGCAGCUCACUGGAGCGCAACUGACGCUGAAGCUCGAAAGUGCGGGUAUCGAACAGGAUUAGAUACCCUGGUAGUCCGCACGGUAAACGAUGGAUGCCCGCUGUUGGUCUGAAUAGGUCAGCGGCCAAGCGAAAGCAUUAAGCAUCCCACCUGGGGAGUAC